GUUAAAAUUUUGUAAUGAUUAUAUGACCAUAAAGUAAAAUAAAAGUGGUACAAUAAUAAUUUCCCUAUAUUUAUUAAUAUUAUAUGUGAAGGGAUAUCUUGCAAGAAAGGAUCAUUGCUUAUUAUCUAUUUAUUGUUUGUCACCUACGUAUGAAUAUUACUACCAUGGGUAUCUUUACGUUCAAAAUAGUGAAUGGAAAAUAAAAAAACGAUCAUGGAGCAACAUGAUCAGCCAACACCUUCUCAUGAACCAACACAUAUCUUUCUCUUAAUUUAUUUUAAUUUUAUAUGUGAAGGGAUACCUAGCAAGAAAAGAUCAUUGGUUAUUUACCUGUUUAGUGUUUGCCACAUAUGUAUGACUAUUAUCAUCAUUAGUAUUUACGCUUUCAAAAUAGUGAAUGGAAGACAAGAAAUAACAUGGAGUAUGAUCAAUCAACACCUUUUUGUGCAUCUACAAAGAUCUUUGACUUAAUGAUUUGCGUCUUUUUACGAUGCCGUAAUUUUUUUACAUCAUCAAUAAUAUAAGAAAUAUAUACCAUUAGAUCUAAUCAAUGUACUAUUAUCUAUAUUAAUAAAAA
Molecule: long non-coding RNA, 577 nt
Filed under: Citrus x clementina
Lineage: Eukaryota; Viridiplantae; Streptophyta; Magnoliopsida; Sapindales; Rutaceae
Description: Citrus clementina (C. clementina) long non-coding RNA (CCLE_LNC003379)
Source: RNAcentral